UUCUGCGGCGGGCCGGGCAGGGAGACCUUCGGGUCUGCCGGCGAGCUGGAGUGGGCCGGUCUGCGAACCCUGUCGUCAGGCCCGCCACCCUC
This 92-nucleotide non-coding RNA is filed under the name Ralstonia sp. NFACC01. Lineage: Bacteria; Pseudomonadati; Pseudomonadota; Betaproteobacteria; Burkholderiales; Burkholderiaceae. The record is from RNAcentral.